UACAGAGGGUGCGAGCGUUAAUCGGAAUUACUGGGCGUAAAGCGUGCGUAGACGGUUAUUUAAGUCGGGUGUGAAAGCCCCGGGCUCAACCUGGGAAUUGCAUUCGAGACUGAAUAGCUAGGGUACGGUAGAGGGAAGUGGAAUUUCCGGUGUAGCGGUGAAAUGCGUAGAUAUCUGGAGGAACACCGGUGGCGAAGGCGGCAUCCUGGACCGAGAUUGACGCUGAUGCGCGAAAGCCAGGGGAGCAAACGGG
Molecule: ribosomal RNA, 253 nt
Filed under: uncultured bacterium
Lineage: Bacteria
Description: partial 16S ribosomal RNA
Rfam family: Bacterial small subunit ribosomal RNA
Source: RNAcentral